RNAcentral lists this ribosomal RNA (253 nucleotides) under uncultured bacterium. Its description in RNAcentral is "partial 16S ribosomal RNA". It matches the Rfam family "Bacterial small subunit ribosomal RNA", at positions 524 to 776 of the family's 1533-position model. The record is from RNAcentral.
UACGAAGGGGGCUAGCGUUGCUCGGAAUCACUGGGCGUAAAGGGUGCGUAGGCGGGUCUUUAAGUCAGGGGUGAAAUCCUGGAGCUCAACUCCAGAACUGCCUUUGAUACUGAGGAUCUUUAGUUCGGGAGAGGUGAGUGGAACUGCGAGUGUAGAGGUGAAAUUCGUAGAUAUUCGCAAGAACACCAGUGGCGAAGGCGGCUCACUGGCCCGAUACUGACGCUGAGGCACGAAAGCGUGGGGAGCAAACAGG